RNAcentral lists this ribosomal RNA (253 nucleotides) under uncultured bacterium. RNAcentral describes it as "partial 16S ribosomal RNA". It matches the Rfam family "Bacterial small subunit ribosomal RNA", at positions 524 to 776 of the family's 1533-position model. The record is from RNAcentral.
UACGUAGGGUGCGAGCGUUGUCCGGAAUUACUGGGCGUAAAGAGCUCGUAGGUGGUUUGUCGCGUUGUCCGUGAAAACUCACAGCUCAACUGUGGGCGUGCGGGCGAUACGGGCAGACUGGAGUACUGCAGGGGAGACUGGAAUUCCUGGUGUAGCGGUGGAAUGCGCAGAUAUCAGGAGGGACACCGGUGGCGAAGGCGGGUCUCUGGGCAGUAACUGACGCUGAGGAGCGAAAGCGUGGGGAGCGAACAGG